GACGAACGCUGGCGGCGUGCUUAACACAUGCAAGUCGAACGGAAAGGCCCUGCUUUUGUGGGGUGCUCGAGUGGCGAACGGGUGAGUAACACGUGAGUAACCUGCCCUUGACUUUGGGAUAACUUCAGGAAACUGGGGCUAAUACCGGAUAGGAGCUCCUGCUGCAUGGUGGGGGUUGGAAAGUUUCGGCGGUUGGGGAUGGACUCGCGGCUUAUCAGCUUGUUGGUGGGGUAGGGGCUUACCAAGGCUUUCACGGGUAGCCGGCAUGAGAGGGUGACCGGCCACAUUGGGACUGAGAUACGGCCCAGACUCCUACGGGAGGCAGCAGUGGGGAAUAUUGCACAAUGGGCGGAAGCCUGAUGCAGCAACGCCGCGUGCGGGAUGCCGGCCUUCGGGUUGUAAACCGCUUUCGCCUGUGACGAAGCGUGAGUGACGGUAAUGGGUAAAGAAGCACCGGCUAACUACGUG
Molecule: ribosomal RNA, 468 nt
Filed under: uncultured bacterium
Lineage: Bacteria
Description: partial 16S ribosomal RNA
Rfam family: Bacterial small subunit ribosomal RNA
Source: RNAcentral